Molecule: ribosomal RNA, 1291 nt
Filed under: Thalassina squamifera
Lineage: Eukaryota; Metazoa; Arthropoda; Malacostraca; Decapoda; Thalassinidae
Description: 16S ribosomal RNA
Rfam family: Archaeal large subunit ribosomal RNA (bases 593-1291)
Source: RNAcentral
UAAGAAGAUGGUAUAUAUGAAAAAUAAUUUUAUGUAAAUGAGAGUUAGAGUAUUGUGUAGAUAAAUUUUGUUGUGGACUAUAGAUGAGAGUAUUGUAGAAGAAAUAUUAAAUAGGUGAAAAUUAAUUAUAUAAAUAGAAGUUUUUAAUAUAAGUACCUUGGGUGUCAGGGAGUAUUAAAUUAUAAUUGGUAUUAAUUUUUCUCGAUUGAUAAAUAGCUAAAAUUAAUUGAGAGUGUUUGUUGAAUAAGGCUUUUUUAUUUAAUUUUAGUAAUGAAAUGUUAUUCGAGUUAUCUGUAUCUGGUUAUUGUCGAAAGGAAUUUAAUUUCAUCUUUGUAUUAGUUAAUUAUGCAAGGAGUAAAAAUAGGAGGGUAAGCUUCUUAUUUAAAGUGUUUGGAGUAUAAAAUUGAUUUUUAGUUAAGAGGUUUAGGCUUGAAAGUAGCUUUAAUGUUAGGGUGUUAUAACUAAUCUGUGUAUAAAAUAAUGAUUUUUAUUGUGUUAGAUAAUGAUUUGUGUUAGUUGAAAAAAUGGAGAUAAAAUGAUAUUAUUAGUAUAGUGUAGAGUUGAAUAAGAUAAUAAAAUGUUAGGGUUUUAUAUUUUGUUUGUUUUAUAAAAAAGGAAUUCGGCAAAUAUUGCUUCUGCCUGUUUAACAAAAACAUGUCUUUAGGGUGGUAUUUAAAGUCUGGCCUGCCCACUGAUUGAUUUAAAGGGCCGCAGUAUACUGACUGUGCGAAGGUAGCAUAAUCAUUAGUCUUUUAAUUGAGGGCUGGUAUGAAUGGUUUGACAAGAGGCAUUCUGUCUCUUUUGUAUUUCUUGAACUUUACUUUCAAGUUAAAAGGCUUGGAUGAUCUAGAGGGACGAUAAGACCCUAUAAAGUUUUAUAUUUUUUCUUUUGAGUUUAAAAGUAUUUGUUUAACUAAAAUUGGCGGGAAGGUAUUUUGUUGGGGCGACAGGAGUAUAAUUAAUUAAUAACUGCUUCCAGAGAGUUUACAGUAAUUUUUGUUAUUUAUUGAUCCUUAAUAGAGAUUAUAAGAUUAAGUUACUUUAGGGAUAACAGCGUAAUUUUUUUUGAGAGUUCUAAUCGAGAAAAAAGUUUGCGACCUCGAUGUUGAAUUAAGGUACCUUUGUAGAGUAGAAAUUAUAAGAGGGGGUCUGUUCGACCUUUAAACCUUUACAUGAUUUGAGUUCAGACCGGUGUAAGCCAGGUCGGUUUCUAUCUUCUAGUGAAUAAAGAGUCUUUUUAGUACGAGAGGAUUUAAAGAUUUAAAUAGUUUAGUUAAAGUGGAAUAGGGUU